This is a small nucleolar RNA of Panicum virgatum (switchgrass), 139 nucleotides long. RefSeq annotates it as small nucleolar RNA Z247. The transcript has a single exon. The record is from RefSeq and is a predicted model, not a curated record. Lineage: Eukaryota; Viridiplantae; Streptophyta; Magnoliopsida; Poales; Poaceae.
CCCAUCGAUGAAGAAGAACUGGUCCGGUAUAUCCUUACCGGACUGGAUCAGGAGUACAACCCCGUCGUGGCCGCCGUCCUCGCUCAGCCGGGCGACACCUCCUUCGACGACCUGCUGUCGCAGCUCCUCAGCUUCGAAC